CCUACGGGUGGCAGCAGUGAGGAAUAUUGGUCAAUGGGCGAGAGCCUGAACCAGUCAAGGCGCGUGAAGGAUGACGGGCCUAAGGGUUGUAAACUUUUUUUGUCAGGGAGCAAUUGAGUCAAAGUGUGGUUUGAGCGAGAGUACCUGAAGAAAAAGCAUCGGCUACAUCCGUGCCAGCAGCAGCGGUAAUACGGUGGAUGCGAGCGUUCUCCGGAUUUAUUGGGUUUAAAGGGUGCGUAGGCGGAAUAUUAAGUCAGCGGUAAAAAUUCGGGGCUCAACCCCGUCGUGCCGUUGAAACUGAUGUUCUUGAGUGGGCGAGAAGUAUGCGGAAUGCGUGGUGUAGCGGUGAAAUGCAUAGAUAUCACGCAGAACUCCGAUUGCGAAGGCAGCAUACCGGCGCCCAACUGACGCUGAAGCACGAAAGCGUGGGUAUCGAACAGGAUUAGAUACCCCGGUAGUC
Molecule: ribosomal RNA, 460 nt
Filed under: uncultured bacterium
Lineage: Bacteria
Description: partial 16S ribosomal RNA
Rfam family: Bacterial small subunit ribosomal RNA
Source: RNAcentral